Molecule: unclassified non-coding RNA, 423 nt
Filed under: Hevea brasiliensis (rubber tree)
Lineage: Eukaryota; Viridiplantae; Streptophyta; Magnoliopsida; Malpighiales; Euphorbiaceae
Source: RNAcentral
CGCCAUGUAGCGUAGAUCCGUCUUGUUCCACGCGAGACGUAGAAGCGGGGUCUCCGGGGUGGGGGAUUCGUACACGAUGGUGGAGUGCUCCUUGUCGCGGAGGUCGAAGAUGCGGACGGAGCCAUCGGCGGAGACGGAGGCGAAGACGCCGGCCUCGCCCCAGGCGAUGUCGUAGACUUCUUUGUCGUGGGCGAUGAGUUGGGUCUCGACGAUGCCACGCUCGAUGUCCCAGAUGGUACAUGUGGUGUCGAUGCUGGAGGUGCCGAUGCGGUUGGGGUUGGAGUCAUUCCAGUCGAAGGAGGUGAGGGGGGCGGAGAAGUCGGAGGACUUGGAGUUGUUGAGGAGGGAGCGAAGUUCGACGGAGGAUUCAGUGGGGUGCCAGAGGCGGAGGGAGUCGCCGGAGGAGGCGAGGAGAGGGUGGGG